RNAcentral lists this ribosomal RNA (486 nucleotides) under uncultured bacterium. RNAcentral's name for it is "bacterial SSU rRNA". It matches the Rfam family "Bacterial small subunit ribosomal RNA", at positions 28 to 505 of the family's 1533-position model. The record is from RNAcentral.
GAUUAACGCUAGCGGCAGGCAUAAUACAUGCAAGUUGAACGAGAUUAGUUUAGCAAUAGACUAUGAAAGUGGCGCACGGGUGCGUAACACGUAUGCAACCUGCCCUUGACUGGAGAAUAGCCUCUCGAAAGAGAGAUUAAUGUUCCAUAACAUAUAGAUUAAGCAUUUAAUUUAUAUCAAAGCUCCGGCGGUCAAGGAUGGGCAUGCGGUUGAUUAGCUAGUUGGUGAGGUAACGGCUCACCAAGGCGACGAUCAAUAGGGGGUCUGAGAGGAUGUCCCCCCACACUGGUACUGAGACACGGACCAGACUCCUACGGGAGGCAGCAGUAGGGAAUAUUGGUCAAUGGAGGCAACUCUGAACCAGCCAUGCCGCGUGCAGGAUGAAGGCCCCUCGGGUUGUAAACUGCUUUUGUACAGAACGAAAAGGUUUCUAUUAAUACUAGGAGCUCAUGACGGUACUGUAAGAAUAAGCACCGGCUAACUACG